AGUAAAUAGAUACCCGGGUAGUCCACGCCGUAAACGAUGAGUACUAGGUGUAGGAGGUAUCGACUCCUUCUGUGCCGCAGUUAAACACAAUAAGUACUCCGCCUGGGAAGUACGGUCGCAAGAUUAAAACUCAAAGGAAUUGACGGGGGCCCGCACAAGCAGCGGAGCAUGUGGUUUAAAUUCGAAGCAACGCGAAGAACCUUACCUAGACUUGACAUCCCCUGAAUAACGUAGAGAUACGCGAAGCCCUUCGGGGCAGGGAGACAGGUGGUGCAUGGUUGUCGUCAGCUCGUGUCGUGAGAUGUUGGGUUAAGUCCCGCAACGAGCGCAACCCUUAUCAUUAGUUGCUACCAUUUAGUUGAGCACUCUAGUGAGACUGCCCGGGUUAACCGGGAGGAAGGCGGGGAUGACGUCAAAUCAUCAUGCCCCUUAUGUCUAGGGCUACACACGUGCUACAAUGGUGAGAACAACGAGAUGCAAUACCGCGAGGUGGAGCAAAACUUCAAAACUCAUCUCAGUUCGGAUUGUAGGCUGAAACCCGCUUAC
Molecule: ribosomal RNA, 546 nt
Filed under: uncultured bacterium
Lineage: Bacteria
Description: bacterial SSU rRNA
Rfam family: Bacterial small subunit ribosomal RNA
Source: RNAcentral